This 274-nucleotide ribosomal RNA is filed under the name uncultured bacterium. RNAcentral describes it as "partial 16S ribosomal RNA". It matches the Rfam family "Bacterial small subunit ribosomal RNA", at positions 523 to 796 of the family's 1533-position model. The record is from RNAcentral.
AUACGGAGGGUGCAAGCGUUACUCGGAAUCACUGGGCGUAAGGCGCGCGCAGGCGGCUUGAUAAGUUGGAUGUGAAAGCCUACGGCUCAACCGUAGAACUGCAUCCAAAACUGUCAGGCUAGAGUGUGGGAGAGGAAGAUGGAAUUAGUUGUGUAGGGGUAAAAUCCGUAGAGAUAACUAGGAAUACCAAAAGCGAAGGCAAUCUUCUGGAACACUACUGACGCUGGGGCGCGAAGGCGUGGGGAGCAAACAGGAUUAGAAACCCGAGUAGUCC